This 752-nucleotide long non-coding RNA is filed under the name Brassica napus (rape). Its description in RNAcentral is "long non-coding RNA (BNAP_LNC003824)". The record is from RNAcentral. Lineage: Eukaryota; Viridiplantae; Streptophyta; Magnoliopsida; Brassicales; Brassicaceae.
GUGGUUAGUUUAGUGAAUUUGUAGAUACGUUUAUGAAAUUUGUGGAUUAUAGGAUGAGGAAUUUUAAAGGUUACUUGAUUAAUCUAAUUAAUUUUUUUUCAGAUUGUUAGGAAAAACAAGCUUGCCCUUCAUUAUAAAGAUCUGUUUAGUGUGCCUAGUAGUCAUGCAGGUACAUCAUCUUCAGCCCACACUUCGCAGAGGAUAUGGAGAGAAGGAGUAGUCAGGAGUAUUUCUCGGAGUUCAAUAACCCCUAGCUAAUUUUUUCCCUUUUUUUUACUGUACUAUAAAUUUGAAAUUUAAAUAUUUAUAAAAUAUUUUUGAAUUUUUUGAUUAUUUAUUUUUUUUUUAUAAUUUUUGUUCAUUAACUUAAUUCUAAUUUUUUUAAUAUAAAAACAUGAAUCAAAGUAAACCUGUAGCUAAUUCUACGUAAAUUUAACGAGUAAUUAACGUGAAAGUAUACAUAAAUUUCUCGUAAAAAUUUACUUCGAAUUUAUUAGGGAAGCCAUGCAAAUUCGUCAUAAAUUUUAUGUGGACUUUACUAUGAUUAUUUGAGUUUAUUUUAUGAAGAAGCUGACGUCGUUAGUUUGCUUGUUUAUUACGACGAAAUAUUAGACGUCUGUGUUACGACGAAAUAUUUUUUCGUAAUUUUACGACAAUUUACGAAGAAAUAUGAUUUACGAUGGACGAAAUUCGAGAUUAUUUCGUCGUGACGUGUUUUUUUACAACGAAUUUAGAUUUUUGGAAUCGUGGAA